This 68-nucleotide ribosomal RNA is filed under the name uncultured fungus. RNAcentral describes it as "partial 18S ribosomal RNA". The record is from RNAcentral. Lineage: Eukaryota; Fungi.
CUUGGUCAUUUAGAGGAAGUAAAAGUCGUAACAAGGUAUUCGUUUGUUUUCAAUGUGCAAGGACCCUG